GGCAAAUUGAGCACAUUCUGCCUGGUGGCAGAAGCAGCAGACAUGAAUGCCCCAAUUGCAUUCUUGCCCAUAAUAAAGAAACUGCUGGAGCUUACUGCAGUGAUCAUGAGGUUUAACUGGUCCCUUACUGCAUUUAACUCACAUGGCUGGGUUGUAAUGAACAUAUUAGAAUGUAAAAAACCCAGCCCUUUCCUUCAAAUAAAACCCAGGCACAGAAAACAUCCCUUGUUUUUUACAAUGAGCCAUUGCACUUGGGAUUCUUUAACAUUCAAAAUUUAACAGGUGGGACUCCUUCUCUCUUCCUUAUGUAUUUUUCAACUUAUGAGGAACAAGUCUUUUAACUCUUUAUGUGUGUUUAUUAAUCAUUUUGGGGUCUCUCUGUUGCAGGGCACACUUUGCUCAUUUCUGGUUUCCUACAGCUGGUGCUGUCAGCCCUUGGAGAGCAGCUGAGGGCUCAGGGUGCUGCUCUCUUGUUGAGGGUGAUGCCUUGUUUGCUCAGAGCUGACAUGUGCUCAGUCCGUGGUGUUUCUGUGUGCGAGUGAUUCAGCCCUGGUUGUGAACAAGUGAUGGAGUUAGUUCUUGUCAAGGCAUGGGGAAGAUGAAUGUGUUUUUCAAGAGCUGGCCCACGACUUGAAAAAUCUGGAUGCACUUCAGGGCUUUGCUGCCAACCUGCUGCAUGACCUUUGGUCCCAACCCCAUGCGUCCCACUGGUCUGGAAUAACAUUUGGAGUCUGGCAGUCUGGUCCCUUUUGUAGCUCCAGAGGAUUUUUGGAGCAUGGGGAGCAUGGGAUGCAUGGAUGUACGGACCCACAAAACCCUCUGGAGAAUGCUGGCUGUGGAAAAAAGCAUCUGGAAGUUUCUACCAUCUUUUUACCCUGUUUUUUCCUGGCUCACCCUGUGUCAUUUGUGGCCCUGUCCUGAGGAUUAUAGCAUGCAGUCACUUACUGGAAUACCUCCCCAUGCAUCUUCUUGAAACGGAGCCAUUGCUUUACCCAGCUGGAAGAUAUUUUCUCUUCUCCCAGGGCUUUUCCAGUGCAGCAGCACUCCUGUCCAGCAGGAUGCUGCUGCUGCGUCACUUGCAUUCUUCACCCCGACCCAGCAGUAACUCUUUCCAGACUACCAGGAGCAGUCCAGGCACUUAUUUCCUGCUCCAUUCCCUCUCCAAGAGCUUUGUGCAUAGGGCGAGUGCAUCCCCUCUCCCUCAGCAGAGGAGCUGCUGCCAGCUCAGACAGAGGUCUCGGUUGACUGCAGAAAGGAGAAGGGAGGAGCAUGUCAAAGGGAGGUCAGAUCCUGCCAGGGUUUCCUGGGAAAUGAGGUGUUUGGAUGAUGAAACUUGA
Long non-coding RNA from Cyanistes caeruleus (blue tit), 1337 nucleotides. The record is from Ensembl. Lineage: Eukaryota; Metazoa; Chordata; Aves; Passeriformes; Paridae.